GAUGCAGUCCAGAGAGAGAAGCUGGGAGCUGACUGGAUGAGUGGGAUGUGGGUGGAGAGGAGUCUUUGAGUGACCGACCUGAAGACACUUAAAGUAGGUCCUGGCAGCCAUGGUUCCCUUUGCAAUGUGGACAUAGGAGGAGCAAACCCCUGGAGCAGGGUGUCUCCCCUAUGCGAGAUAGGGAGUGAGAAACCAUCGAAGGAGGUGGGACCCAAUGGAAUGGAUUCACACCAGUCACCCAAGGGAGCAGACCAAACCGGGA
Molecule: non-coding RNA, 262 nt
Organism: Chiloscyllium plagiosum (whitespotted bambooshark)
Lineage: Eukaryota; Metazoa; Chordata; Chondrichthyes; Orectolobiformes; Hemiscylliidae
Source: RefSeq, a predicted model, not a curated record